ACGCUGGCGGCGUGCCUAACACAUGCAAGUCGAACGGGGAUUUGUUUCGGCAGAAUCCUAGUGGCGAACGGGUGAGUAACGCGUAGGCAACCUGCCCUCCGGCCGGGGACAACACUCCGAAAGGGGUGCUAAUACCGGAUACGAAGUCUGUGCCGCAUGGUACGGAUUUGAAAGAUGGCCUCUAUUUAUAAGCUAUCGCCGGGGGAUGGGCCUGCGUCCGAUUAGCUGGUUGGUGGGGUAACGGCCUACCAAGGCGACGAUCGGUAGCCGGUCUGAGAGGAUGAACGGCCACAUUGGGACUGAGACACGGCCCAGACUCCUACGGGAGGCAGCAGUGGGGAAUCUUCCGCAAUGGGCGCAAGCCUGACGGAGCAACGCCGCGUGAGUGAGGAAGUUCUUCGGAACGUAAAGCUCUGUUGUUCCUGACGAACCUCCCUUCUAUGAACAACGGAGGGGACUGACGGUAGGGAACGAGGAAGCCACGGCUAACUACGUGCCAGCCGCCGC
This 507-nucleotide ribosomal RNA is filed under the name uncultured bacterium. RNAcentral's name for it is "bacterial SSU rRNA". It matches the Rfam family "Bacterial small subunit ribosomal RNA", at positions 33 to 518 of the family's 1533-position model. The record is from RNAcentral.